GAAAAAUAUUCAGAGAAAAUGUUCCCUAAAAGAAUUGUGGGAAGUUGCACAAUUUCUCGCUGAUAAAUGUGCAGCCUUUUCCUCAAAUAUUUUGAACAUCUGAAAAACGUCCUUCAGUUGAGAUUUUGAAAAGAAUGCCUCAAAGACGGACGCCAUUGAAGUUCAGCAUGGAAUAGUAAAAGGGUUGGCAAAAUGCUCAUCAAAGUCCAGUACCGUGGACUAAAACAAGUACCUCAAACUGCAUCCUGGUUUUUCUUAUGAAAGUUUCAUUGAAGAAGAAUUUGUGCCAGCAGGUUCUUCUACUCUAAUUUCUUCAAGUGAUAUGGAGAGGUCCUCUUCAAACAAGGGACAUCAAUCUC
Alosa sapidissima (American shad) is the source of this 359-nucleotide long non-coding RNA. RefSeq lists it as uncharacterized. Lineage: Eukaryota; Metazoa; Chordata; Actinopteri; Clupeiformes; Clupeidae. The transcript is spliced from 3 exons. The record is from RefSeq and is a predicted model, not a curated record.